Felis catus (domestic cat) is the source of this 93-nucleotide transfer RNA. It matches the Rfam family "tRNA". Rfam says of the family: Transfer RNA (tRNA) molecules are approximately 80 nucleotides in length. NCBI's taxonomy places the organism in Eukaryota, Metazoa, Chordata, Mammalia, Carnivora, Felidae. The record is from Rfam.
GCCUGGGUGGCUCAGUCGGUUGAGCGUCCGACUUCGGCUCAGGUCACGAUCUCACGAUCUCGCCGUCCGUGGGUUCGAGCCCCGCGUCAGGCU